RNAcentral lists this unclassified non-coding RNA (165 nucleotides) under uncultured fungus. RNAcentral describes it as "sequence contains ITS1". Lineage: Eukaryota; Fungi. The record is from RNAcentral.
UUAAUAUUUGUUUUUUACUGAAGAUACUGCUACUACAAAGGGUUUGGUAUGUCCACCGGCGGGCAAGCCCGCCGAGGAAACAAUGGUGCUCAUAAACAAAGGGUGCUAUCUCAAUGGGGACGAAUCCCCACGGUAAUGAUCCUUCCGCAGGUUCACCUACGGAAA